Long non-coding RNA from Eublepharis macularius, 1826 nucleotides. RefSeq lists it as uncharacterized. NCBI's taxonomy places the organism in Eukaryota, Metazoa, Chordata, Lepidosauria, Squamata, Eublepharidae. The record is from RefSeq and is a predicted model, not a curated record. The transcript is spliced from 4 exons.
UUGGUUCGUACUGCAUGCGUUUUGCGUAUCUGUUCGCAUCGGCGUCCUGGAUGAGAUCUGGAAGGCGACACGAUGGGCAGGUGGGAAAGCGGCUCGACUUUGCAAAAAGGCGAAACUUCCCGGGCCCCGCCAGUGCGAGCUCCGCCUGUGAGAGAGGACUGGGCGCGACCUUUAGCAGGCAGCGGCGUUUUCUGGCAGCCGCGUGUUCAGCCGCUUGGAUGGGGAAGAUGGGACACCUGCUCUGAAAAGGUUACAGCACGUUACCUUCUGGCUUUCCAUAUCUGAAGUUCCUUGAGACAUCAUCUUUCUUCCUUUGAGGUGUGGCCCUUCAGUAUGGGACCCAAAAAUACCUGAAUUACUUCAGCCUGAGAAGCGGUAUGUUCUGAAAAGGUGUAGAGACUCUAAACCACAAGAGAAUUCUGGGACUGGGAACAGCCAUUAACGCUUGAAAUGAAUGGACAAACGAUGCGUGGAUCAAGAACUGGAGCUGGCAUGAGCUGAUCAGGGAACUGGUGCCAUGUGAUUAAAAAAUGCAGUAUGGCAGAAAAAAAGCCCCAAGAAAACAUCAGUCCUGGAAGUGCACAAGAGGAGUUGGCCCCCACCGUGGGGUGGAUUCCAUCCAUAUAUCUUGGGUUUUUUUGGUAAAAUGUGAAAAUAGUAAACAGUAAACAACCGGUCCCCUUCCACACAGGCACAUGUGAGAUCACUUUCCUAUACACACCUACAUGUUGCCACAUCACCAUACUAUUCCAGUGUUUCUUUUUUCAUUAGGACUUAAGAGUUUCUUUUCUGUUCAGAGAUGCUCAUGUUUUCUUUUGUUUGCAAGAAUGCACAGAAACCCUGUAUGCAGUUUGCAAGCAGCUUUGUGUCCCCUUGGGGGAGAAAGACAAGCUAUAAAUACUUAAAUAAGGUGCAGACAUGUAGCUUUGAAGCCCUUCACUGUCUGCUCCCCAGAUACUCAAAGGAGCAUCUCCACCCAAAUCCACCUCCUUGAUCUUUACGAUCAGACACCGAGAAUCUUUGUUCAGCUUUUGACCAUUGGGGCGCUGCCUCCUGCACUCUGGUGGCAUUCUCUGUAAUGGCCUCCAAGCUAUGGAACUGACGGCCUCCUUUGAGAUCUUGGACCUUUUAAGCAGGCUCUGGAGCAGGGGUGGCCAAACUUGCUUAAUGUAAGAGCUACAUAGAAUAAACGUCAGAUGUUUGAGAGCCGCAGGAUAUGAUGCAUUGAAGUGACUUCAGAUGAAGAGGUCAGUUUGUGGAAGUGUCCUGAAAGUGACAUCACAGGAAGGGGUGGAGUUUUGGUGCAAUAUGCUGGAAGUGACAUCAGAAGGGGUCGAGCUUGGGAAGAGCCAUCACAUGACCUUUGACUUGGAAGUGACAUCACAAAAGUGAUGUGACAUCCUUGCUAGGCUUCACACACACACACACACACACACACACACACAGCCAGCCCAAAGUCCCCAGAUAUUUUCUGAGUCAGACCUGGCAACCCUAACAUUUUUAUUGAAAAUAUUAAAGACAUGGAAAGAAAGAAGGAACGGAACAGAGGGAAAGACAAGGAAAGAAGGGAGAGAAAUAAACUUAACUAAAACGUAUGGCCAUGGCAAUACUCCGAGACCUCUGGGAGCUGCACAAUGUCUAGAAGAGCCACAUGUGGCUCCCGAGCGGCAGUUUGGCCACCCCUGUUCUCGAGUCUCAUUUUCCACUAGAGGCUUUUGGGGUUCCAGUAUGUCUCUUGGCGUGAGUCUCAUCAACAGCACAAACCCACCCAGUUUUGGGAUUUACAGAUGUGUCCCAUUUAUGUUCUUUUUCUUUAUUGAUCCUUG